This 7844-nucleotide long non-coding RNA is filed under the name Mytilus galloprovincialis (Mediterranean mussel). The record is from RNAcentral. Lineage: Eukaryota; Metazoa; Mollusca; Bivalvia; Mytilida; Mytilidae.
AUAAACGUGUAUUCAUUGCAGACCGGAACUUCUUAAUAUAAACACGAAAGCACAGAACCAACUUGAAUGAUUGCAGUGUCAUUUAUUUAUAGUGAUAUUUACCAAUGAAAUAUCAAAUAUAAAGGAAGGGGUCUUUUUAUCAAAUCCAGGGACAUUUGAUAACAGUAAGCAGUAAGUGAUUUCAAUAAAACACAGGAGGGGUUUGAUACAAUAUUUCACCUUCACAGGUCAGAUCCACGUACGUAAUCACGAAUCGUUUGGCAUUUGUAGCGUCACUUUUAUACAAACAUUGACAAAUGUCUAUGAUAAUUAUUGAUACUACAACCGUUGUUUGUCAAGAUUUAACAAUAACAUCUUCUUUCGGUUGAUUACGAGAUUAUUUUCUUGAGAUUUGCUUUAUGAUCAAUCAAAAUUGAAUGCAUAUAUCCUGUGAACCCCUUUUAUUCAUCGCCUUGAUGCAAUGCUGCAAAAUCCUGUUUAAAGUGAUUAAUUAUUUUUUUUUAAGUCCGUUAUUCAUUUUUUUAUUGAUACAAAUUAAAGCGAUACAAACUCGAGGAUAUACAUAAACAAUGAUCAACUUAUAUUUGAAAGUCAAUAAAGUAUGUGUUCGGCAACAAUACUGUCGUUCGUUACUUGUCAAACGAUGGCAUCAUAAAUAUCAUAAUUAGGUUCCAGAAAGAUUAUAACCAAAUAUACCACAUCUAAUCAAAAAUCAAAACUUUCCACUAGACGUCAAAAAUUCUUUUUUAUAUACUUGAAUGGCUAAUUUUUACUAUAAAACAAUUGCAAGUGUUAGUAAAUUUUCGUGUAAAAAAAUACUGUCACAAAUUGGAACGCACGAAAAAAUCAUGGCUUUAUUAACUCAUCUUUUCACGUGCUCAACUUGUUCUGUGUUUUUUUUUUUUGGUCAAUAUCACGAUCUGCUUGAUUAAGGCAACAUACUCGAACGUUAGGAAACUUGCGCUCAACAGUCACUGAAUAAAAUAUUAUUUGUCUAUAACACAUAGAUAGAUUUUCAAUAAAUAUCACAAACGCAAGAACAGGACUAAAUAUGGUAAAUACGAAUGCAUUUGUUUAACAAUUAGGAGAACAUCAUGAUCACAAACAAAUCAUUUCAUAUUAAUUUAAUAUCAAGAACUGUACACUAGUCGUUCUUUAAAAAAACAUACUUUAGCCAAUCAAGUUCAGGACAUUCAGACUUCAAACAUAUAACGGAUGCCUUAAUUUGGUUCCCAAUCUGACUUUGUGAGAAGAGUACACGAACUUCGUAAUUCUAUGAACUACGUCGAUCCAGCAAAAAAAACAAACCCAAAAAACAAUCACAUUUAAUCAACACCUUUAAAUCCCUGUUCAACAUGGCAAUAUCGAAAACGUCAUUCAGUUGCAUUGACUAAUUUUCAAUUUCAAAGUAAUGCUCAAACAAUCCCGAAGAUUGACGAUCUUUACUUUACAUUAUGUCUCUCGGAAUGAUUAUCUUCUUUUAUAUUGCUUUCAAAAUGUACCCCAUUUUUGUAUAAACCCGAUAAUCAUUAAAUAAUAGGCUGUACACUAUUUUAAGAACGGAUACACAAACUAUGAAUUUAGAAGUGUGUGAAUAUAAAACCCUAAACAUAAAACAUAAAAAUAAAUAUUUAGUCAAACAUUUUUUUUAAGGUAUAACUUAGCAGUACAAAAGUUUCCUCCAAUCUGAAAAAAAUUGUCCAGACGAGUUUAAAUGUCUAAGUCUUGUCAUCGAGUCACUUGCUCGAGAAAAUCGAUCCCGGCGAAAACAAUAGUACAACCGAAGUUAUAUAUCGUAUCUAAAAAUGAAACGGGGGAUUUAUUCGACCCAUAAAUAUUAUUGAAUAAUAAAAUUGAGAAUGACAACUUUGAAUAUGUCAAAGGGAUAACAACCCAACAAAACAGCAGAAAACAUUCAAAGCAAACAAUGGACCUUCGACACAAUGAAAAAAAUCCCUCUAUCGAAGGGGGGGGGGGCUUCACAAGACUAACAAAGUAUAAAUGUUUCUUUGUGUAAAUUUUAUUGAAGUUCAUCAAGAUAAUCAAGAUCGUUGUCAAAAACAAACAUGUAUUCAUUUAUUUUUUAUUGUUUUGUUCACUGUUUGUUCACGUAAUGCGUAAUGAACUGAAGAGAUCGGAAAAGUAGGUUCCCGAUUCUCUCAUAAUUAUGCAUGAUACAAGAAAUCAUCAUAUAUAUCAGACUUAUAUUUCGGUAUGUACUAAUCACAUACGUUCGCAUUUAAGCUCUAUCUUAAAAAAAAAAAGGUAGUGCAAUUUUGAACAACUUUACAAUGUGAACGGUGUUUCACAAAUGUACUUAGUCAUUUGAUAUUUUUAUGUAACGGAAUUGUAUGUCUUUUGUGAAAUUAUAGCGUUCGGUUUCAUUACUCUCGUUCUAUUUCUCUACUGAAUUGGUUCACUUUUUUGUUUACACCUGUUUAAGUGUCCUUUCAUAUUUUCCUUUCUUCUUGCAAGCACUAUGUAAUAUGAUAAAUUAUACACCCCACGCCCUUAACAUUUAACAUAUUUUUCAACAUAUUUUUCAUUGUUUCAGGUUGAAGAAUGGUCAAUUUCAGAAUUGGUAUAUGUAUUAUGGUAAUUAUGAUUUUUUUACAUUGCUAUAGCAAUUAUUCUGAAAUUGUGUAUUCGGUGAUUUUAGUGAAUCUACCUUGAUGGUAUUUUAGUUGAAUGCUUACGUGGAAUAUAAAAAGAACUUCUGCUUCAAACACAGCUAAGUUAAAAUAUAUGUAUUAUCAAUAAGUUUCCAGUUUAUAUAUAGUACUGGACAUUUAGUGAUAGGAGCAAUACUGUUUAACUUUCAAUUCAUUACUAAAGCUUUAUUCACACUGCCGAUCAAAUCAACUAAUUAACCAAGCCCGAUAAAGCCAAAUUACAUGAUCGGGAGACUGGUCUGACUCAAUCGACAAGAAUGUUCGGGAUAGUCUACCUUGCUCGUCAUCGAUCUGACUUUGUACUCGAGAGUUUUUUUACACGUCAAAAACAUUCGAGUAAGGAUCGAUAAGUAGCCCAGUAAAGAGAGAUCGAGAAUUUGUCGAGUAGCGGUCGAAUUGAUCGGGAAAGGAUCGUGUAGAGAUCGAGUUUGGUCGGAAUACAAAAUUUUUACCGAUCACUACUCGAUCAUUUCGACCUGUGCUCGAAUAAGGUUCGAUCAUUUUCAGAUUAACUCGACAAAUGCCAGAUCGCUUUCAGAUCACUACGACUUGUAUAUUUAUUCUAUCUCAGACCAAAUACACGAGAACACAUGACUUCUAUACGAUUCUUUAAAAGUGUUUGCAGAUCUGAUUAACUAUUAUAACUUUGCUUUCACAAAAUAUGUUGGUCACAUUAUUUUUAACUUUACAAAAAUUCCACCAAUAACACUGCGUACGUGUAUUUACUUUUGCAAUAAUAGGUAUCAUUUUAAAAGAAAGGCAAGCAACACCAAAGGAACAAUCAAACUCAAAGACAAACCGACACAGCCAUAGCAAAAACGGUAACCGACGAGAAGACACACAGCAUUCCACAUAACAUAGAAAACUAAAAACUUAGCAACACAAAACCCAACAAAACCUGGAAUGAUCUCAGAUGUUCCGGAAGAAAAUCCUGCAAUUUUGGCACCGGCGAAUAUUAAAAUAAUUGUCCAAAAAUAUUCGUUGCUAGACUGCUGAUGACUAAGUUAUCUUUCAAAGUUGGUUUAUAAAAACAUCAAGAUUAUAUUUUACCUGUUUAAGGGCUAUUUUUUAUUUUGUCUGUUUGUAUUUUCCAUUUGUCUAGAAAUGUUUGUAGCAUAAAAAAAAUGAGAUGUGGUACAAUUGCCAAUGAAACAGCUCUCCACAGACAGAACACCAAAUGACACAGAAAUUAUCAAUAACAACUAUAGGUCACCUUACAGUAAUUUUUUUUUUCAUUCAAAAUUUUUGACGUAAUUUUACACAAAAAUGAGACGAAAGACAAAUAUUUUUUUUUAUUUGGUGCCAAUUUCUAUUUAACAAUAAUGAUAAAAACUGUUCAUUGAGCACAUGUUUUGAUCAUUUUUUUCUAACAUACUUUUGCAAGUUUGCAUAAUCUUUGACAAACUAUACACUUGCUGCAUAUGCGUUUGUCGUUUGUCGUUUGUUAGUUCAAACAAUGCAUUUCUUUCUAGCUUUGAUAUUAAAUAAAUUAUCUUGCUUGUCAAAACAUUGUCUAAAAUUACUCAAACUUUAAGUCCCCUCUAAUCAAACGAUGCAUUUGUUUCUACUUUUGUAAUGUUUUACAAACUAUAAUAAACGCAACUUCCUUAGAAAGAAAUGCACUCCUGAUCUUUUGAUAGAUAUAUGUAAAGUUGUAGACUGUUUCAGAAAAGGUAUCACUCCAGUCAAAUUUUGGGAAAAUAUGUGACAUCUUUGCCCUCUUUGGCAAUUACAUACAGGUUGUUGACAUACAGCAAAAACAAAUUUCUUUAACCAUUCAACUACUGGAUAUCAAAUCUAUGAAAAAAUACUGAUUACAUACCUAUGCCAAUAAAUAAAUAUACACAGUACGCUUUAUUUGUAAGAAAUCAAGGAACUGGGGAUGGUAAAGUUAAUAUAUAUUAAUAUCUGACAUAAGUACUAAUCCAGUUUUAAAUCUCAUUUUGUGGUGUCAUUUCAAAAACAGAGCAAUAAAACUACCAUUACAUAUCAGUCUUCACUAUGAGGAAAAAAACGUUUGGCCACGAGCAUCACUGAAGAGACAUGUAUUGUUGAAAUGCGCAUCUGGUGCAAGAAAAUUGGUACCGUUAAAUUUAUUAGGUCGUAUACAGUAGGAUGGUGGUCGGUUGGAAGUCGUAAAUAGGCCCAAUCAAGAAUUUGGUUGAGCUAGGUCGUGGAAAUUUUGAAAAUUAGGAUCAUCGAGUUGAUCUGAUCGGCAGUGUGAACCUAGCUUUACCAGUAAAAGUCUGAAAUUACCUAUAUCUGUAAACGACUGUACGGAUUUUUCCUCAACCAGUCUGAAUUGGUCCUUAUAUUACUCGACAAUACUCGACCCUAGUCUUAACCAUACUCAAGUGUACUUAUAUUUACUUGACCCUUAUAUCUGCCAUUAGAAAUAAUCCAUAGUAUUACUCGAACAGUCUGAAACCGUCUUAACCUAUUCUCGACCUUGACUCGACCUAUUUGUUCAGUCUCAACAAUACUCUACCAAAGAUCUGAACACUACUCUACCGGUCUGAGCCUUACUUGACAAAUUAACCUCUCUAUUUUUCAAAUUUUAGCUGGUAAAAUAUUUUUUUUUCAACUAACAUGACAACAGCCACAAUUAGAUAAAGAUACAGUGAAAUCUGCCUUAUCAACCACCUGAAUUGUACGUCUACCUGCUGUGAACGACCACUUUCCAAGCGCCCUAAUAGAUUUCCCCAUAUAUGUAAGCUGUAUUAAGCGACAUCCUUUUUAACACGACCAACGACCGCGUUAAUUUGUAUAAAACGACCACAUGCACGGUUUUAAUCGAGCAUAAAUUACUUGGAAUGAUCAGCACAUUUUGAAAAACUGUAAUCGUACCGCCAUUUUGAUGAUUAAUGUUGAUUUUCCCCGAGUUAAAACUAAGCUGAUUCCAUAAAGUAGCAGAUUCACUAAAACAAAAUGCUGAUUGUUGACAUUCUAAUAUACGGCAAUCCUUGGUUUAAUCCAACAGAACGGAAUUGACUACUGACUAUCAGAACGUUCAACAAUCAGGACGUCUUUUUCCAAGUCAGAGAUCGCUUAUAAAGUUCAAUUCGUAAUUGCAGUGAAAUUUGUUAUUCAAAUGUGUCACUGUGUUUGUGGUGUAUGCCUUUAUAUUUUUCAAUUAUUGAUGGUUUGCCUGGGAGAGAGCUUUCACAGGUUUUUUUUAGAGUUGUCUCAUUGGCACUCAUACCACAUCUUCCUAUAUCUUUUUUUCUUGACAGUUAUGACACAGUUAUAAGGAACAAAUUAUAUUUUUAAUUCAAUAAAACAUAUUUGAAAUUUUUUGCAUAAUGAAACAAUUAAUAUAAAAUCUUGAAGAACAUGUGAGAGAGCUCUGACCCUGGUUAAUAUUUAGGAAUUAGACUGGACAUAGCUAAGAACCCUGUCUUGUGAUGUAUGAACAAAUUAUGCCCAUUUUGUGGAAAUUGUGGAACGUGUAUUGCAAAACCACCGGUAUUAAGAAACCACGCUUACCUUCUCCUUCCAAGUGGUCUCUUAAGGGCAUACGAUACAGUUUUGAUCCUGUAUUUACAGUACGAUGAAAAUUUCCAUAUGGGCUAGUUUUUGCCUGAUCAAAUCAAAUAUGUAAUAAAAAAUAUACCUUCAUGUGCUACUUUUUGAGUUAAAUGAGGUCGAAAUUUUGUAUAUUUGCUCAAAAUUCGGAUUUGUGGCCGUAUUUUCCCUUUUGAAAGAAAGCCAUAACUUUUUGUUUUAAAAGAUAAACACAAACUGUUUUUUGUUAGAUAAUUUGUAGUUUUUGUAUUUUAUAAGUAUCCUAAAAAAAUAUGCAUUUUUAUUCAGAAAUAACUCAUAUUUAUCAAAUGGUCAUGAAUUAAGAAAAAAUCGUAUUUUUUUUGCUGUAUAUCUAUCAAAAUUAAAAAAAAUCCUCUAUUUACAGUUUUCUAAAAUUUGGUCUACAUAAUCUCCCUGCAAAAUGAAACAAAAUGUCGUUUUAAAAAAUAGGGGUCCAUGCACUCGUUUUCAAAUUAAAUCAGUUUGAAUGAUGAAAAAUAGUCGAAAAAUGCAUCUUUUCCCGAUAUGUCAUAGUUUGACGUCGCGAAAAUAACAUUUUACGUUAGCAACGUCAUUACCUCCCCUGUAACUGUAUCGUAUGCCCUUAAUACAGUUUUGACUGUAUAUAUAAAAAGAGAUUUUUACAUCUUAACAUGAUUCUCUGAUUUAUCAAAUAGAGAUAGUUAAAUUAAAUUAUCUUAUAUGAUAAUCUAACGAAAUUGAUUUUUCAGUUUUAGCAUUUUGUUAAAAAAAAAAAGACUUAACUAAUCAGUAGUUCAUCUGAAUGUACAAAGACCUUUACAAUGAAUAUCAACUUCGUAAAUAGUACUUAGUUUUGAGUUAUAUAUUCUAUGUGUUGAUACUGUUGAUCAUAAUAUUUACUUCUUAGUAUUCCAUUCAGUUGUUGUUGUACUAGAUCUGUCGUAAAUACGUUAUAUUCUCCCCUGAAUGUGACUUUCCGAAUUAGACUUAUCACCAGGUAUGUAAAUACAUAAGCAACACGGCGCGUGCCAUAUGUGGAGCAGGAACAGCACCCUCUUUAUCGUCUCUUUGUUAUGUUCCGUUGGGUACUUUUACUCUCAACAUGUGUAUUUUUGCAUCGAGCUUUCGGGUUUUCGGUUUCAAUCGAACGUUGUGCAGAAAGUUUUAGGUUGCAAUUCGGACACAUUGGGCUAUUUACUUUGGAAGUCAGUUGGUGUUCUCGAUCUAUGAUGUUUUCUAACACAAUUGUGUCUGCUGGGUCACAAUCAAUGGCACUUCUACUAAUCAUUUCUUUUUUAGUUGCUCACACAACUCUGCCAAUAUAGCGGAAUAAAAAGCAUCUGUCAUACAGAUAUUUAGAUAUAAAUAUGAGAUAAAUGAUCAUAUACCGGUAUCAAGGAUAAAAAUAUCUUAGAAGUUUAUUAUUGACAACUUUGUAUCUUUAAAACAUGUGGAACAUUUUUUCAAUGAGGAGAAAUUGAUUUAAGAACCUGUUUUUAGAACGUUUUCUACUUUUUAAAAUGUACCUUAUUGUUAGAUGAUUGCUGUAACUUCUACAUAUGAACUGAAGUGUCCAGAUACAGCACAGUGGCGUCUGAGAGCAACUUACUCGUGUUCAGCUGACCAUUCAUAUGUUUGUUUGUUAGAUGUUUACGGACAGAGGCA